This 434-nucleotide ribosomal RNA is filed under the name uncultured Lachnospiraceae bacterium. RNAcentral's name for it is "partial 16S ribosomal RNA". It matches the Rfam family "Bacterial small subunit ribosomal RNA", at positions 341 to 792 of the family's 1533-position model. Lineage: Bacteria; Bacillati; Bacillota; Clostridia; Lachnospirales; Lachnospiraceae. The record is from RNAcentral.
ACGGAAGGCAGCAGUGGGGAAUAUUGGACAAUGGGGGAAACCCUGAUCCAGCGACGCCGCGUGAGUGAAGAAGUAUUUCGGUAUGUAAAGCUCUAUCAGUAGGGAAGAAAAUGACGGUACCUAACUAAGAAGCUCCGGCUAAAUACGUGCCAGCAGCCGCGGUAAUACGUAUGGAGCAAGCGUUAUCCGGAUUUACUGGGUGUAAAGGGAGCGUAGACGGCAAAGCAAGUCUGAUGUGAAAUAUUGGGGCUCAACCCCGAAACUGCAUUGGAAACUGUUUAGCUAGAGUGCAGGAGAGGUAAGUGGAAUCCCUAGUGUAGCGGUGAAAUGCGUAGAUAUUAGGAGGAACACCAGUGGCGAAGGCGGCUUGCUGGACGACAACUGACGCUGAGGCGCGAAAGCGUGGGGAGCAAACAGGAUUAGAUACCCUGGUA